AUUUAGGUAUCUUAAUUAUAAAGUAUAAUAUUGAAGUUAUUAUUAUAGGUUAUUAACCUCCUAAAUA
Molecule: transfer RNA, 67 nt
Filed under: Acanthosoma labiduroides
Lineage: Eukaryota; Metazoa; Arthropoda; Insecta; Hemiptera; Acanthosomatidae
Description: tRNA-Phe
Source: RNAcentral